AUUGAACGCUGGCGGAAUGCUUUACACAUGCAAGUCGAGCGGCAGCGCGGGGGCAACCCUGGCGGCGAGCGGCGAACGGGUGAGUAACAUAUCGGAACGUACCCUGUCGUGGGGGAUAACUAUCCGAAAGGAUAGCUAAUACCGCAUACGACCUGAGGGUGAAAGCGGGGGAUCGCAAGGCCUCGCGCGAUAGGAGCGGCCGAUAUCGGAUUAGCUAGUUGGUGAGGUAAAGGCUCACCAAGGCGACGAUCUGUAGCUGGUCUGAGAGGACGACCAGCCACACUGGGACUGAGACACGGCCCAGACUCCUACGGGAGGCAGCAGUGGGGAAUUUUGGACAAUGGGCGCAAGCCUGAUCCAGCAAUGCCGCGUGCAGGACGAAGGCCUUCGGGUUGUAAACGUAGCUUUUGUACGGUAACGAAAAGACCUUCUUCUAAUACAGGGGGUCGAUGACGGUACCGUAAGAAUAAGCACCGGCUAACUACGUAGCCAGCAGCCG
Molecule: ribosomal RNA, 499 nt
Filed under: uncultured bacterium
Lineage: Bacteria
Description: bacterial SSU rRNA
Rfam family: Bacterial small subunit ribosomal RNA
Source: RNAcentral